CAAUAGCGUAUAUUAAAGUUGUUGCAGUUAAAAAGCUCGUAGUUGGAUUUCUGGUCGGAAGCUCCUGUCCUCUGAUGAGCGUACAAGUGCGUCCUACCAUCCUUCUGUUAACCUUUAAGGCUUUCGCGGCUUUCUAGGGGCUCAGAUAUUUUACCUUGAGAAAAUUAGAGUGUUUCAGGCAGGCUAGCGCCGGAAUACAUUAGCAUGGAAUAAUGGAAUAGGACUUUUGCCUCUUCUGUUGGUCAUGAGGCUCGAGUAAUGAUUAAUAGGGAUAGUUGGGGGCAUUAGUACUUAACUGUCAGAGGUGAAAUUCUCGAAUUUGUUAAAGACUAACUUAUGCGAAAGCAUUUGCCAAGGAUGUUUUCAUUAA
RNAcentral lists this ribosomal RNA (370 nucleotides) under uncultured eukaryote. RNAcentral describes it as "partial 18S ribosomal RNA". It matches the Rfam family "Eukaryotic small subunit ribosomal RNA", at positions 592 to 976 of the family's 1831-position model. The record is from RNAcentral.